RNAcentral lists this small nuclear RNA (103 nucleotides) under Daucus carota subsp. sativus. Lineage: Eukaryota; Viridiplantae; Streptophyta; Magnoliopsida; Apiales; Apiaceae. The record is from RNAcentral.
UUCAAAACCGUAGAGUUCUAUAUAAAUUCUAAAUAUUCAGAGAUGACUAUCAAGACUCAUGCAUAAGCAUCGAAUACUUAAAAUAAAGAUGAAGGAUUGACUC